AUUGAACGCUGGCGGCAGGCCUAACACAUGCAAGUCGAACGGUAGCACAGAGAGCUUGCUCUCGGGUGACGAGUGGCGGACGGGUGAGUAAUGUCUGGGAAACUGCCCGAUGGAUGGGGAUAACUACUGGAAACGGUAGCUAAUACCGCAUAAUGUCGCAAGACCAAAGAGGGGGACCUUCGGGCCUCUUGCCAUCGGAUGUGCCCAGAUGGGAUUAGCUUGUUGGUGAGGUAAUGGCUCACCAAGGCGACGAUCCCUAGCUGGUCUGGGAGGAUGACCAGCCACACUGGAACUGAGACACGGUCCAGACUCCUACGGGAGGCAGCAGUGGGGAAUAUUGCACAAUGGGCGCAAGCCUGAUGCAGCCAUGCCGCGUGUGUGAAGGAGGCCUUCGGGUUGUAAAGCACUUUCAGCGGGGAGGAAGGCAAUGCGGUUAAUAACCGUGUUGAUUGACGUUACCCGCAGAAGAAGCACCGGCUAACUCCGUG
This 488-nucleotide ribosomal RNA is filed under the name uncultured bacterium. Its description in RNAcentral is "partial 16S ribosomal RNA". It matches the Rfam family "Bacterial small subunit ribosomal RNA", at positions 30 to 507 of the family's 1533-position model. The record is from RNAcentral.